AGACCACUGCAACCAAUUAUCAAAAUAUUGUCUUCCAUCCAGAGCAGUUUCAGGAAAUUCUUCUGGAUAAGAUUGGAUUUAGAAGGGUGGAAGUCAUCACUUCUGAUGGCUUAUCAGACAGCAAAACUGGAUUUAACAGGCCGAUAUUUGCAUUUAAAAAAUGACUCAGCUAGUAGAGUUGCUGCUUCUGCCUAACUUGUCUAAUAGAUGCAACUAAUUCGUUUCUUUUCAUAAGGUAUAGUAUGUGUAAAUUUCUUAAGACUUUGAUUAGUUCUUUAAAUGUUGUUGCUGCCUAACACAAUACCAUAUUCAGUUUUACAACCGAGGAGAUCUGAAAUAUGUUGGAUCAUCUGUGCUUUGUGUCUCAAUCAGAGCAUGAAUUUCAGCUUUGCAUUUUUGCUGUAAUACUUGGGAUUGGCAUCAUUCUGAAGCUGAAUAUUAAGUGUUCGAGUAAUACCGCUGAUUUGAAGGGAACUUGUGUAUCAGCUGUGAGAUAGUGUCGAUGUAAAACUGUUAUUAGCGCUAAAUGUUAUGCUCUGAUGAAGAAUCAUAUUGGUAAUGGAAUGUGUGACGAGUAGAAAUUAACAGAUUGAGAAUCGGAGUUGAAUUGAAGAAGUUAUGAAGCUUUGAAGUAAAGAAGAGAUUAUAGAUUACGCUUCAGUUUGAGCACGCCUCGGUGUUUGGACAAUAACUAGAGCUUUAGACCUCAUAUUAAGACGAUUAUUUGACUGUUGGAAAACUGAUUCAAAUGGCUAUAUUUCAUAUGUU
Molecule: long non-coding RNA, 768 nt
Organism: Pistacia vera
Lineage: Eukaryota; Viridiplantae; Streptophyta; Magnoliopsida; Sapindales; Anacardiaceae
Exons: 3
Source: RefSeq, a predicted model, not a curated record